GAGAUCAAAAUGGAGGAUUUCAAUGAAGAUCUGGGAGAGGAAACUUCCAGAAAAAGGAUAGAUGGAGAGGAUCAAGGUCCUGGGGCAGGAACCAACCAGUGUGUUUUAUGACUGGAGGAGGAGGAGCAUCAUACUGGGGAGGCAGAGACAGAUGAAAGCGGGAAGCAGAGGACGAAUUCCAGACGCUGGCAAGGACAGAGCAUCGAGGGACCAGGCGCCCUCCCGGGUGAGCCCCGGAACCGGCAUCCGUUUGGAAUCUGGGAGGGAGGCUCCGCGCGAGGGCUGGCCGGGACGGCGCGUCCUGGCGCCCGGCGUCUGCUCGCAGAGCCAGCCCUGGCAGCACGCCUGCCGGGCGUUUCCUGGCAACCAGCCACCGCCUGAACGUUCCGAACUCUACAGCCCGCGACGUCACCGUCACCUUGACGACGGCCGUGGGAACACGCCCCGUCGGCACCGGGGGCGGGGUCUGAGCGCUGCGCGCUCUGCGCGUGUGGAGAGGGGCGGGGCCUGGGCAGGUGCGAAGGCAGGUGCGGCUGCAGGUGUGAGCGGGGCGGGGCGGGGCGGGG
Molecule: long non-coding RNA, 566 nt
Filed under: Mus musculus (house mouse)
Lineage: Eukaryota; Metazoa; Chordata; Mammalia; Rodentia; Muridae
Description: predicted gene, 49427
Source: RNAcentral